Long non-coding RNA from Astyanax mexicanus (Mexican tetra), 1035 nucleotides. RefSeq lists it as uncharacterized. The record is from RefSeq and is a predicted model, not a curated record. Lineage: Eukaryota; Metazoa; Chordata; Actinopteri; Characiformes; Acestrorhamphidae. The transcript has 5 exons.
AAUAGUGAGCACGGUUAGCAGCUGAUGCUUAUGGUGCUCCAACAGUGCUAGACAGGAUUAAUAGCAGGCUACAGGCUGAUAAUACUCCCAUAUGAAUGGAGAAAUAGCGGUUAGCGGCUAAUGCUAAUACUGCUCCAGUCUCGGUGCUGUAGAACUAAACUGAAACCCCUGUAUAACUCUGUACUUCAGCAGAGUGACUUUACUGCUCCUUAAUACCUGACUGACAGAAUUCAUACAUAAGGAGCACCGGAUUAUAAGGAGCUCUGAUGAUUUUGGGGAAAAUUAAAGGAAUUUAGGUGCAUGUUAUUGUGCAAAAAGAAAUUAAUGCUAAUCUGAUUUGUUCACAUCGUUUAUAUUGGGGGGAAAAGAGACAAAGAGAGAGUUUCUUACUAAUGAAUGUAAGAUUAUGGGAGUUGUAGUGAGAGCUGAUAAUAGUGGGUGCAGGUGAAUUAUGGGAGUUGUAGUGAGGGCUGAUAAUAGUGGGUGCAGGUGAAUUAUGGGAGUUGUAGUGAGGGCUGAUAAUAGUGGGUGCAGGUGAAUUAUGGGAGUUGUAGUGAGAGCUGAUAAUAGUGGGUGCAGGUGAAUUAUGGGAGUUGUAGUGAGGGCUGAUAAUAGUGGGUGCAGGUGAAUUAUGGGAGUUGUAGUGAGGGCUGAUAAUAGUGGGUGCAGGUGAAUUAUGGGAGUUGUAGUGAGGGCUGAUAAUAGUGGGUGCAGGUGAAUUAUGGGAGUUGUAGUGAGGGCUGAUAAUAGUGGGUGCAGGUGAAUUAUGGGAGUUGUAGUGAGGGUCUGAUAAUAGUGGGUGCAGGUGAAUUAUGGGAGUUGUAGUGAGGGCUGAUAAUAGUGGAUGCAGGUGAAUUAUGGGAGUUGUAGUGAGGGGCUGAUAAUAGUGGGUGCAGGUGAAUUAUGGGAGUUGUAGUGAGGGGCUGAUAAUAGUGGGUGCAGGUGAAUUAUGGGAGUUGUAGUGAGGGGCUGAUAAUAGUGGGUGCAGGUGAAUUAUGGGAGUUGUAGUGAGGGCUGCUAAUAGUGGGUGCAGGU